Molecule: long non-coding RNA, 1414 nt
Filed under: Mus musculus (house mouse)
Lineage: Eukaryota; Metazoa; Chordata; Mammalia; Rodentia; Muridae
Description: RAB10, member RAS oncogene family, opposite strand
Source: RNAcentral
GAUCAGAAGCGGACAAGCAAACAGCGGAUGUGCAGUUCCUCUCUUCGCCGAACCCGGUUUUCCCUUUCGGAGCAGCGCGACCGAUUUCCGGUUUCCCCGCCGCAACCACCGUUACCCCCCCCCCGCCCCAAUCCCCGGCGACUCCAGCGACGUCACCGGUUCAGCUCCUGACCUUUCGGCGAACCGCAGAACCACAGGCGACCCGUUCGACGUCAUCACUCCCCGCCCAGAUGUCGCUGUGACAUCACCCCGCACGUGCCUGCGCUGGCACCGCGUCGUCCUGGCGAGCGCCUCCUCGCGGCGGAAGGAGAUCCUGGGGUUCGCUGUGCGAGACAUGUCGGCGGGGUUUCACGUGAGUGACACUUGGUCCCCACGGGAUUGACAGCGACUAGCGGAGUGGCAUGUGGACGUAGCUUCAGGUGACCUCACUGACCCCGCCCCUGACUCCACCCCUUGUGAUGACCCCACCACUGACCCACAGGCCUUGGAGGGGCUGAUCCUGGAGAAGUCAAAGGACCAGGAGGACGCCAUGGGGGGUGCUGUACAGGCUGAGCAGGAAGCAGAGCAGCACAGCGUCAUCAUGAGGGUAGCCAUCUUCACCUGGGGCAUCCACGGAGGAGGAGCUGAUCCACGACUACUUGGACAACAGCACACCAGCGAAGGAUGGGACAAGGCCUGGGGCCUCCGCCAUCCAUGCGUGGGGAGUGAUGCUGGUAGAGGGCAAAUUGGUGACGUCAUCAAUGCAGCGGGCUUCCCACUCAACCACUUUAGCCGCAAGCUUGCAAGGGCAGCUGCCAGAGACAGGAAGUGACAUCGCUGUGGAGAGGGCAGCAGGAAGUGAGGUGGAAGAAAAGUGUUUUGAAACUGACCCUACAGAUAAAAGAGUUCAUCAUGAAUGCGAUACCCUCCUAUACAGUUGUUAGAAGCAACCCUCCAUCUCCAACUCCAAAAAUAAAUGAAAACCAAACCACACAGUUGGAAAUCAGGGGUCUGCAACAACACAAGGAAGCAAGCAACCCGUGAGAAAGCACUGGCAUGGAUGAAAACAGACUCACUGGAAAGAUGCAAAGCAAUUUGGCCUCCUCUGUAAAUUGUGACAGACAUCUCCUGACAACACUUAAAGCAUCUCAAACCAUCCUUGCCCUGAUCUAUGAGUUCUCAGAACAGAAGGACUACUGAGCCAGGCGUGGUAGCACAUGCCUGUGAUCCUACAACUCAGAAGACAGAAGAGGAAUUCUAGGUCAGCCUGGGCUAGACAGACAGCAAGACUCUUGUUUUGUUUUGAAAGGCUGGUGAGGUAGUUCAGCGGGUUAACUGCCUGGUCUAAGCCCAGUGACGUGAGUUUGUGUGCUGUGGAGCUUCUGCAAACCCUGCCCCUGCCAAAUAAAAACUCGUAAUUUAUAACUCACAAAAA